RNAcentral lists this ribosomal RNA (253 nucleotides) under uncultured bacterium. Its description in RNAcentral is "partial 16S ribosomal RNA". It matches the Rfam family "Bacterial small subunit ribosomal RNA", at positions 524 to 776 of the family's 1533-position model. The record is from RNAcentral.
UACGGAGGGGGCUAGCGUUGUUCGGAGUUACUGGGCGUAAAGCGCACGUAGGCGGCUUUGCAAGUUAGAGGUGAAAGCCCGGGGCUCAACUCCGGAAUUGCCUUUAAAACUGCAUCGCUAGAAUUGUGGAGAGGUAAGUGGAAUUCCGAGUGUAGAGGUGAAAUUCGUAGAUAUUCGGAAGAACACCAGUGGCGAAGGCGACUUACUGGACACAUAUUGACGCUGAGGUGCGAAAGCGUGGGGAGCGAACAGG